RNAcentral lists this ribosomal RNA (427 nucleotides) under uncultured bacterium. Its description in RNAcentral is "partial 16S ribosomal RNA". It matches the Rfam family "Bacterial small subunit ribosomal RNA", at positions 355 to 774 of the family's 1533-position model. The record is from RNAcentral.
UAGGGAAUCUUCCGCAAUGGGCGAAAGCCUGACGGAGCAACGCCGCGUGAGUGAUGAAGGUCUUCGGAUCGUAAAACUCUGUUAUCAGGGAAGAACAAAUGUGUAAGUAACUGUGCACAUCUUGACGGUACCUGAUCAGAAAGCCACGGCUAACUACGUGCCAGCAGCCGCGGUAAUACGUAGGUGGCAAGCGUUAUCCGGAAUUAUUGGGCGUAAAGAGCGCGUAGGCGGUUUUUUAAGUCUGAUGUGAAAGCCCACGGCUCAACCGUGGAGGGUCAUUGGAAACUGGAAAACUUGAGUGCAGAAGAGGAAAGUGGAAUUCCAUGUGUAGCGGUGAAAUGCGCAGAGAUAUGGAGGAACACCAGUGGCGAAGGCGACUUUCUGGUCUGUAACUGACGCUGAUGUGCGAAAGCGUGGGGAUCAAACA